CGGGGCGUAGCGCAGUCUGGUAGCGCGCAUGUUUUGGGUACAUGAGGCCCCGAGUUCGAAUCUCGGCGCCCCGACCA
RNAcentral lists this transfer RNA (77 nucleotides) under Alphaproteobacteria bacterium. Its description in RNAcentral is "tRNA-Pro". It matches the Rfam family "tRNA". From Rfam's summary of the family: Transfer RNA (tRNA) molecules are approximately 80 nucleotides in length. Their secondary structure includes four short double-helical elements and three loops (D, anti-codon, and T loops). RNAcentral also lists the same sequence under 1 other name. The record is from RNAcentral. Lineage: Bacteria; Pseudomonadati; Pseudomonadota; Alphaproteobacteria.